This 261-nucleotide ribosomal RNA is filed under the name uncultured bacterium. RNAcentral describes it as "partial 16S ribosomal RNA". It matches the Rfam family "Bacterial small subunit ribosomal RNA", at positions 515 to 775 of the family's 1533-position model. The record is from RNAcentral.
CCGCGGUAAUACGGAGGGUGCGAGCGUUAAUCGGAAUUACUGGGCGUAAAGCGCGCGUAGGUGGUUAAUUAAGUCAGAUGUGAAAUCCCAGGGCUCAACCUUGGAACUGCAUUUGAAACUGGUUAACUAGAGUUUUGCAGAGGGUGGUAGAAUUUCAGGUGUAGCGGUGAAAUGCGUAGAGAUCUGAAGGAAUACCAGUGGCGAAGGCGGCCACCUGGACAAAGACUGACGCUCAGAUGCGAAAGCGUGGGAAGCAAACAG